AUUGAACGCUGGCGGCAGGCCUAACACAUGCAAGUCGAGCGGAUGAAGGGAGCUUGCUCCUGGAUUCAGCGGCGGACGGGUGAGUAAUGCCUAGGAAUCUGCCUGGUAGUGGGGGAUAACGUCCGGAAACGGGCGCUAAUACCGCAUACGUCCUGAGGGAGAAAGUGGGGGAUCUUCGGACCUCGCUAUCUGAUAUGCCUAGGUCGGAUUAGCUAGUUGGUGGGGUAAAGGCCUACCAAGGCGACGAUCCGUAACUGGUCUGAGAGGAUGAUCAGUCACACUGGAACUGAGACACGGUCCAGACUCCUACGGGAGGCAGCAGUGGGGAAUAUUGGACAAUGGGCGAAAGCCUGAUCCAGCCAUGCCGCGUGUGUGAAGAAGGUCUUCGGAUUGUAAAGCACUUUAAGUUGGGAGGAAGGGCAGUAAGUUAAUACCUUGCUGUUUUGACGUUACCAACAGAAUAAGCACCGGCUAACUUCGUG
This 482-nucleotide ribosomal RNA is filed under the name uncultured bacterium. RNAcentral's name for it is "partial 16S ribosomal RNA". It matches the Rfam family "Bacterial small subunit ribosomal RNA", at positions 30 to 507 of the family's 1533-position model. The record is from RNAcentral.